Small nucleolar RNA from Suncus etruscus (white-toothed pygmy shrew), 138 nucleotides. RefSeq annotates it as small nucleolar RNA SNORA51. The transcript has a single exon. NCBI's taxonomy places the organism in Eukaryota, Metazoa, Chordata, Mammalia, Eulipotyphla, Soricidae. The record is from RefSeq and is a predicted model, not a curated record.
GGCCUUCCAAUGCUUACCCACAGGUGGUCUGUUCUUUUACACUGACUUAUAGAAGAGGAGAUAACAGUAAAUGCUCCCUUUAUACCACCUCAAACCUGGGCCCUAUGCCUGGUCUGUAUUGUGAAUGGGGAAUAAAAA